GAUCUCCUGCUGCUUACCACUGGCAGGAGUCUUACACUGUAUGGAGAAAGACUAAACCUGCCCGUAUACAACUCGGCCAGGUCCUGCACUGGGUAUGUACUGUGAAUGGGGAAAACGG
This 118-nucleotide small nucleolar RNA is filed under the name Chinchilla lanigera (long-tailed chinchilla). RNAcentral describes it as "Small nucleolar RNA SNORA51 (ENSCLAG00000019784.1)". The record is from RNAcentral. Lineage: Eukaryota; Metazoa; Chordata; Mammalia; Rodentia; Chinchillidae.